This 880-nucleotide ribosomal RNA is filed under the name uncultured bacterium. RNAcentral's name for it is "bacterial SSU rRNA". It matches the Rfam family "Bacterial small subunit ribosomal RNA", at positions 83 to 946 of the family's 1533-position model. The record is from RNAcentral.
UUGGGAAAGCGAGCGGCGGAUGGGUGAGUAACACGUGGGGAACCUGCCCCUAAGUCUGGGAUACCAUUUGGAAACAGGUGCUAAUACCGGAUAAUAAAGCAGAUCGCAUGAUCAGCUUUUGAAAGGCGGCGUAAGCUGUCGCUAAGGGAUGGCCCCGCGGUGCAUUAGCUAGUUGGUAAGGUAACGGCUUACCAAGGCGACGAUGCAUAGCCGAGUUGAGAGACUGAUCGGCCACAUUGGGACUGAGACACGGCCCAAACUCCUACGGGAGGCAGCAGUAGGGAAUCUUCCACAAUGGACGCAAGUCUGAUGGAGCAACGCCGCGUGAGUGAAGAAGGUUUUCGGAUCGUAAAGCUCUGUUGUUGGUGAAGAAGGAUAGAGGUAGUAACUGGCCUUUAUUUGACGGUAAUCAACCAGAAAGUCACGGCUAACUACGUGCCAGCAGCCGCGGUAAUACGUAGGUGGCAAGCGUUGUCCGGAUUUAUUGGGCGUAAAGCGAGCGCAGGCGGAAAAAUAAGUCUAAUGUGAAAGCCCUCGGCUUAACCGAGGAACUGCAUCGGAAACUGUUUUUCUUGAGUGCAGAAGAGGAGAGUGGAACUCCAUGUGUAGCGGUGGAAUGCGUAGAUAUAUGGAAGAACACCAGUGGCGAAGGCGGCUCUCUGGUCUGCAACUGACGCUGAGGCUCGAAAGCAUGGGUAGCGAACAGGAUUAGAUACCCUGGUAGUCCAUGCCGUAAACGAUGAGUGCUAAGUGUUGGGAGGUUUCCGCCUCUCAGUGCUGCAGCUAACGCAUUAAGCACUCCGCCUGGGGAGUACGACCGCCAGGUUGAAACUCAAAGGAAUUGACGGGGGCCCCGCACAAACCGGUGGAGCAUGUGGUU